RNAcentral lists this non-coding RNA (26 nucleotides) under Homo sapiens (human). The record is from RNAcentral. Lineage: Eukaryota; Metazoa; Chordata; Mammalia; Primates; Hominidae.
UAAAACAUGCAGUGCAAAUUCAGGCU